Molecule: ribosomal RNA, 459 nt
Filed under: uncultured bacterium
Lineage: Bacteria
Description: partial 16S ribosomal RNA
Rfam family: Bacterial small subunit ribosomal RNA
Source: RNAcentral
CCUACGGGAGGCAGCAGUGAGGAAUAUUGGUCAAUGGUCGCGAGCCUGAACCAGCCAAGUCGCGUGCGGGAAGACGGCCCUAUGGAUUGUAAACCGCUUUUGUCGGGGAGCAAAAGACGCCACGCGUGGUGUUCCGAGAGUACCCGAAGAAAAAGCAUCGGCUAACUCCGUGCCAGCAGCCGCGGUAAUACGGAGGAUGCGAGCGUUAUCCGGAUUUAUUGGGGUUAAGGGGUGCGCAGGCGGAAGAUUAAGUCAGCGGUAAAAUGAAGGGGCUCAACCUCUUCGAGCCGUUGAAACUGGUUUUCUUGAGUGAGCGAGAAGUAUGCGGAAUGCGUGGUGUAGCGGUGAAAUGCAUAGAUAUCACGCAGAACUCCGAUUGCGAAGGCAGCAUACCGGCGCUCAACUGACGCUCAUGCACGAAAGUGUGGGUAUCGAACAGGAUUAGAUACCCCUGUAGUC